AACCCUAUGUUAGUUGCCAUCAUUCAGUUGGGCACUCUAGCGAGACUGCCGGUAAUAAACCGGAGGAAGGUGGGAUGACGUCAAAUCAUCAUGCCCUUAUGACCUGGGCUACACACGUGCUACAAUGGUUGGUACAACGAGUUGCGAGUCGGUGACGGCGAGCUAAUCUCUUAAAGCCAAUCUCAGUUCGGAUUGUAGGCUGCAACUCGCCUACAUGAAGUCGGAAUCGCUAGUAAUCGCGGAUCAGCACGCCGCGGUGAAUACGUUCCCGGGCCUU
Molecule: ribosomal RNA, 277 nt
Filed under: uncultured Streptococcus sp.
Lineage: Bacteria; Bacillati; Bacillota; Bacilli; Lactobacillales; Streptococcaceae
Description: partial 16S ribosomal RNA
Rfam family: Bacterial small subunit ribosomal RNA
Source: RNAcentral